This is an RNA transcript of Homo sapiens (human), 1865 nucleotides long. It is a transcript of the gene named golgin A6 family like 17, pseudogene, with no coding region annotated. The transcript has 9 exons. NCBI's taxonomy places the organism in Eukaryota, Metazoa, Chordata, Mammalia, Primates, Hominidae. The record is from RefSeq and is marked validated.
AGUUGCACAGCUGCCUGGUAGGUGACUGGAGGCAUUGAGCAGUGUGCUCACUGGUAUUUCGCUGAUGUGGCCCCAACCCCGCCUCCCUCCCCACCCCGCGAUGUCAGAAAAAACACAACAGGGGAAAUUGGCCGCAGCCAAGAAAAAGUUAAAAGCAUAUUGGCAGAGGAAGAGCCCUGGCAUUCCAGCAGGAGCUAACAGGAAAAAGAAAAUCAAUGGCAGUAGCCCUGACACAGCCACUUCUGGUGGUUACCACUCACCUGGGGAUUCAGCAACAGGUAUCUACGGGGAAGGCCGUGCAUCCUCUACUACCCUGGAGGAUCUGGAGAGCCAGUACCAAGAACUAGCAGUGGCCCUGGAUUCAAGCUCCGCAAUAAUCAGUCAACUCACUGAAAACAUCAAUUCACUGGUUCGCACAUCUAAGGAGGAGAAGAAGCAUGAGAUACAUCUGGUACAGAAGCUUGGGAGGAGCUUGUUCAAACUCAAAAACCAGACGGCUGAACCCCUGGCCCCAGAGCCCCCAGCAGGGCCAUCUAAGGUAGAGCAGCUACAAGAUGAGACCAACCACCUAAGGAAGGAGCUAGAGAGUGUGGGAAGACAGCUCCAGGCUGAGGUGGAAAACAAUCAGAUGUUGAGUCUCCUGAACAGGAGACAGGAGGAGAGGCUACGUGAACAGGAGGAGAGGCUACGUGAACAGGAGGAGAGGCUACGUGAACAGGAGGAGAGGCUACAUGAACAGGAGGAGAGGCUACGUGAACAGGAGGAGAGGCUGUGUGAACAGGAGGAGAGGCUACGUGAACAUGAGGAGAGGCUGUGUGAACAGGAGGAGAGGCUAUGUGAACAGGAGGAGAGGCUACGUGAACAGGAGGAGAGGCUGUGUGAACAGGAGGAGAGGCUGUGUGAACAGGAGGAGAGGCUACGUGAACAGGAGGAGAGGCUGUGUGAACAGGAGGAGAGGCUACGUGAACAGGAGGAGAGGCUGUGUGAACAGGAGGAGAGGCUACGUGAACAGGAGGAGAGGCUGUGUGAACAGGAGAAGCUGCCAGGGCAGGAGAGGCUGCUGGAAGAGGUGGAGAAGCUGUUAGAACAGGAGAGGCGGCAGGAGGAGCAGGAGAGGCUGCUGGAGAGGGAGAGGCUGCUGGAAGAGGUGGAGAAGCUGUUAGAACAGGAGAGGCGGCAGGAGGAGCAGGAGAGGCUGCUGGAGAGGGAGAGGCUGCUGGAAGAGGUGGAGAAGCUGUUAGAACAGGAGAGGCGGCAGGAGGAGCAGGAGAGGCUGCUGGAGAGGGAGAGGCUGCUGGACGAGGUGGAGGAGCUCCUGGACGAGGUGGAGGAGCUCCUGGAGCAGGAGAGGCUUCGGUAACAGGAUGAGAGGCUGUGGCAGCAGGAGACUCUGCGGGAGCUGGAGAGGCUGCGGGAGCUGGAGAGGCUGCUGGAGCUGGAGAGGAUGCUGGAGCUGGGGUGGGAAGCCCUGUACGAGCAGCGGGCCGAGCCACGCAGCGGCUUCGAGGAGCUGAACAACGAGAACAAGAGCACACUGCAGUUGGAGCAGCAAGUAAAGGAGCUGGAGAAGUCGGGUGGAGCUGAAGAGCCAAGAGGCUCCGAGUCUGCAGCAGCAGCCAGACCAGUAGCUGGAGCCCCAGUCCCACAAGGAGCUUGGAUGUGCGGACAAGCAGGGUGGACUCCCCAGGAGCACCCAGGCUUGGGUGGAGAAGCUGUUGGUACAGGAGAGGCGGCAGGAGGAGCAGGAGAGGCUGCAUGCCAUUCUUUUCGGGCUGCCGAGAACAGGGAGCUAAACAUCACCAUCAUCUAAGAGCGGGUCAAGGAAUUAAAAAAAAACAACAAAACGUUUAAGGGGUUAAUAUCCU